Molecule: ribosomal RNA, 125 nt
Filed under: Crenobacter luteus
Lineage: Bacteria; Pseudomonadati; Pseudomonadota; Betaproteobacteria; Neisseriales; Neisseriaceae
Source: RNAcentral
UCUGGCGGCCAUAGCGAGGUGGUCCCACGCCUUCCCAUCCCGAACAGGACCGUGAAACGCCUCAGCGCCGAUGAUAGUGCGGGUUCCCGUGUGAAAGUAGGUCACCGCCAGACGCCCCUCAAGAC